AUCCAUCUGAAGAGUCUCAAAUAGGACGAAAUUCGCGUAGUCCUGGAU
Molecule: non-coding RNA, 48 nt
Filed under: Trichobilharzia regenti
Lineage: Eukaryota; Metazoa; Platyhelminthes; Trematoda; Strigeidida; Schistosomatidae
Source: RNAcentral